Lepisosteus oculatus (spotted gar) is the source of this 344-nucleotide long non-coding RNA. RefSeq lists it as uncharacterized. Lineage: Eukaryota; Metazoa; Chordata; Actinopteri; Semionotiformes; Lepisosteidae. The record is from RefSeq and is a predicted model, not a curated record.
UGAAGCCAGUGAAGUUCCUCAUUGGCUAUCUAAAACUAUCAUUUGAUGGCACGUUCAUCACAAGGUUCAUCCGAAACACUGCCAGGGAUGUCUCCUUCAUGAGGCAAGGAAAUGGGUCUGAUGACUGUGUGCAGAUUGUAUUUGAGAAUGCUGAACAGUCUGGACAAAACUCUGUGUCAUUUGUGUUGCCUGCUUGAAGAAGACAACAGUGGUCUCACUUUGCUUACUUGGAUUCAGUAACUCAUAUAAACCUAUGCUACAUGGCCAACUGGUUAGAUAUUUUCUCUAAUGUGUAACACAAUUAAACCUCUUGUUAGUAUUUUCUAAUAAAUCCUCUAAUCUUA